RNAcentral lists this ribosomal RNA (254 nucleotides) under uncultured bacterium. RNAcentral describes it as "partial 16S ribosomal RNA". It matches the Rfam family "Bacterial small subunit ribosomal RNA", at positions 524 to 776 of the family's 1533-position model. The record is from RNAcentral.
CACGUAGGGGGCAAGCGUUGUCCGGAUUUAUUGGGCGUAAAGAGCUCGUAGGUGGUUCGGUAAGUCGGGUGUUAAACCCCCAGGCUCAACCUGGGGACGCCACUCGAUACUGCUGUGACUAGAGUCCGGUAGGGGAGCGUGGAAUUCCAGGUGUAGCGGUGAAAUGCGUAGAUAUCUGGAGGAACACCGGUGGCGAAGGCGGCAUCCUGGACCAACACUGACGCUGAGGAGCGAAAGCCAGGGGAGCAAACGGG